CCUACGGGAGGCAGCAGUGGGGAAUAUUGCGCAAUGGGCGAAAGCCUGACGCAGCGACGCCGCGUGAGGGAUGAAGGUCUUCGGAUCGUAAACCCCUGUCAGCAGGGAAGAACGGUCACUGUGCUAAUCAGCAGUGAAUUGACGGUACCUGCAAAGGAAGCACCGGCUAACUCCGUGCCAGCAGCCGCGGUAAUACGGAGGGUGCGAGCGUUAAUCGGAAUUACGGGGCGUAAAGCGCUCGUAGGCGGUAUGUCAAGUCAAGGGUGAAAUCUCCGCGCUCAACGUGGGAACUGCCUUUGAAACUGGCAGACUGGAGUGUGGGAGAGGUAAGUGGAAUUCGAGGUGUAGGGGUGAAAUCCGUAGAUAUCAGGAGGAACAUCCGUGGCGAAGGCGACUUUCUGGCACAUAACUGACGCUGAGGAGCGAAAGCGUGGGUAGCAAACAGGAUUAGAUACCCUAGUAGUC
This 465-nucleotide ribosomal RNA is filed under the name uncultured bacterium. RNAcentral describes it as "partial 16S ribosomal RNA". It matches the Rfam family "Bacterial small subunit ribosomal RNA", at positions 338 to 795 of the family's 1533-position model. The record is from RNAcentral.